This 334-nucleotide unclassified non-coding RNA is filed under the name soil metagenome. RNAcentral's name for it is "partial contains 5.8S ribosomal RNA, internal transcribed spacer 2, and large subunit ribosomal RNA". The stretch from base 1 to 120 matches the Rfam family "5.8S ribosomal RNA", at positions 35 to 154 of the family's 154-position model. The record is from RNAcentral.
GAUGAAGAACGUAGCGAAAUGCGAUACGUAAUGUGAAUUGCAGAAUUCAGUGAAUCAUCGAAUCUUUGAACGCACAUUGCGCCCGCCAGCACUCUGGCGGGCAUGCCUGUUCGAGCGUCAUUUCAACCAUCAAGCCCCAGGCUUGCGUUGGAGCCCUGCGGCUGCCGCAGCCUCCUAAAAGCAGUGGCGGGCUCGCUAUCACACCGAGUGCCGUAGAUUACUCUUCGCUCAGGGCGUGCAGCGGGUUCCGGCCGUGAAACCCCCUACUUUUAAAGGUUGACCUCGGAUCAGGUAGGAAUACCCGCUGAACUUAAGCAUAUCAAUAAGCGGAGGA